AACGAACGCUGUCGGCAUGCCUAACACAUGCAAGUCUAACGAGACUUUCGGGUCUCGUGGCGCACGUGUGCGUCACGCGUGGGAACCUGCCCUUAGGUUCGGAAUAACUCCCCGAAAGGGGUUCUAAUACCGGAUAAUCUCUUCGGACCAAUGAUUUAUCGCCUUUGGAUGGGCCCGCGUUGGAUUAGCUAGUUGGUAGGGUAAAAGCCUACCCAGGCGAAGAUCCAUAGCUGGUCUGAGAGGAUGAUCAGCCACACUGGGACUGAGACACGGCCCAGAAUCCGAAGGGAGGCAGCAGGGGGGAAUAUUGGACAAGGGGAGAAAGCCUGAGCCAGCAAUGCCGCGUGAGGGAUGAAGGCCUUAGGGUUGUAAAGCUCUUUUACACGGGAUGAUAAUGACAGUACCGGGAGAAUAAGCUCCGGAUAACUCCGUG
Molecule: ribosomal RNA, 433 nt
Filed under: uncultured bacterium
Lineage: Bacteria
Description: partial 16S ribosomal RNA
Rfam family: Bacterial small subunit ribosomal RNA
Source: RNAcentral